ACAUGGGCUGCAAGAGUUCUACUGGAUAGUUAAGACUUUUGUUGUAAAUGGGGUUUCAGGUGAGAUUUCUGGAAAACUGCAGAAAAGUCAUUUCAUUUACGCUGAGGUGUUAAAAGUGACACAUUGCAAUUUUUACUUUUUUGUUAGAGGUCCAUAUGAAGAUAAUAUCGUCUCUGUGUAACGCAGCAAAUUUUAGUUGUGAUGGGAUGCUUGUCUCCUAGCGAAAAGUCUUCAUCAGACUCCAGGAUCAUAUUAGGAUCCAGUCAGUGUUCAUGGGGAACACUUAGGGUAAAGUUCUUGAUGAUUGUUGACCUGGCUCAUUAAUACUUUUUUCAGAUGCAUCCUCAACAAGACCCAAGGCAAAAAGGCGGUUUACCGAGACCUUGUGGUUAAGAACGUGUGCAGAUUACACGACGAAGUUGAAAGCUGGAGCGGUGGUGUACAAAGCCGGGUCUAAGACACUUGCCCUUGAACUUUACUGUCAGCAAGAGAACCAUGAGCAGAAAGGUCUCUGUGGUUGCUGGCAUCCAGUCACUCUCUCAAGCCUUGGGGCUCAUCAGAGUCCUCUGCAGAUCUCACCUCUGACACUAGAGAGUGUGAAGAAACAAGUCAGACAAAGUAAAGAGGAAUAGAAGACUCCAUUGUGCUCACACAGGAACAGUCUGGGAGCUGGGAGAUGUUAGCCGUGGUAAGAAGCAUAGCUCACAGGUCACAGAACAAUGAGGAAGUACAUCGUCCCUGUUCCAAGUCAGGACUGACUGUAGAAACCACAUUCCUUCCAGGACAAGAGGAACCGUAGAAAAUCACUUGCCUGCAACUGAUUGUUUUAAAUUUAUCACAGUGACACAGAGAGAAAUUCGAGUUGUGUGUUUUGUUGAGUACAUUUUCAGGUUAGGUACUGAGGAUGGAACGAUGGGUGUUGGCCUCUGUUUCGAUUUUUCAAUAGCCACAAAUGAUAAGCUUCCAGACGGUUAGGCAGGGGUAAGGGGCAGUGAGAUCCCAGCUUUGUGAGGGACCCUCAUGUUUCAAAAGCCAGCUCUCGAGGAGCACCAGGAAGUUAACAUCCCUUCCCAGUAGAGAAUUGUCAGCUGACCCCUGAGCACCCUCCCAGCCCAGAGCACAGUAAGACACAAGGUAACUGGGGAGUUUUGAGCAAAGACACUUUAAAGUAGUUUACAUCAUCACAACAAACAAGCUAGUCCCUUUCCUCAAGAUUCAUACUGCCCAUAAGAUUAAUGUCAUGAUUAAUAAUUUACAGUCCGGAGAGCUUUACUGUUGCUUUGAAUUUCAAUUGAAAUAUUUCACUAUUACUCAGCUGUGAUUUUUAUCUUGUUUCACAAGUAAAAUAAAACUUUAAAGUG
This is a long non-coding RNA of Mastomys coucha (southern multimammate mouse), 1361 nucleotides long. RefSeq lists it as uncharacterized. Lineage: Eukaryota; Metazoa; Chordata; Mammalia; Rodentia; Muridae. The record is from RefSeq and is a predicted model, not a curated record. The transcript has 3 exons.